AAAUUGAAGAGUUUGAUCAUGGCUCAGAUUGAACGCUGGCGGCAGGCCUAACACAUGCAAGUCGAACGGUAACAGGAAGCAGCUUGCUGCUUCGCUGACGAGUGGCGGACGGGUGAGUAAUGUCUGGGAAACUGCCUGAUGGAGGGGGAUAACUACUGGAAACGGUGGCUAAUACCGCAUAACGUCGCAAGACCAAAGAGGGGGACCUUCGGGCCUCUUGCCAUCAGAUGUGCCCAGAUGGGAUUAGCUAGUUGGUGAGGUAACGGCUCACCAAGGCGACGAUCCCU
This 287-nucleotide ribosomal RNA is filed under the name Salmonella enterica. RNAcentral's name for it is "partial 16S ribosomal RNA". It matches the Rfam family "Bacterial small subunit ribosomal RNA", at positions 1 to 284 of the family's 1533-position model. RNAcentral also lists the same sequence under 4 other names. Lineage: Bacteria; Pseudomonadati; Pseudomonadota; Gammaproteobacteria; Enterobacterales; Enterobacteriaceae. The record is from RNAcentral.